CCGUCAAUUCCUUUAAGUUUUAGCCUUGCGGCCGUACUCCCCAGGCGGGGCGCUUAAUGCGUUAGCGACGGCACGGAGACCGUGGAAACAGUCCCCACACCUAGCGCCCAAUGUUUACGGCGUGGACUACCAGGGUAUCUAAUCCUGUUCGCUCCCCACGCUUUCGCUCCUCAGCGUCAGUAUCGGCCCAGAGACCCGCCUUCGCCACCGGUGUUCCUCCUGAUAUCUGCGCAUUUCACCGCUACACCAGGAAUUCCAGUCUCCCCUGCCGAACUCAAGUCUGCCCGUAUCGACCGCACGCCUCGUGUUGAGCACAAGGGUUCCACGGUCGACGCGACAAACCGCCUACGAGCUCUUUACGCCCAAUAAUUCCGGACAACGCUCGCACCCUACGUAUUAC
RNAcentral lists this unclassified non-coding RNA (400 nucleotides) under uncultured fungus. RNAcentral describes it as "sequence contains ITS1". Lineage: Eukaryota; Fungi. The record is from RNAcentral.